Long non-coding RNA from Quercus lobata, 118 nucleotides. RefSeq lists it as uncharacterized. The transcript has 3 exons. NCBI's taxonomy places the organism in Eukaryota, Viridiplantae, Streptophyta, Magnoliopsida, Fagales, Fagaceae. The record is from RefSeq and is a predicted model, not a curated record.
CUUCCGGUCAAGCCGCCAAAAACCUUUAUCGAAAUGAAUUGGAAUAUUUCUACAAUCUAGAGUCUCUAAUCUAAUCAAAGCAAAGGUCCAUUACGUGGACAUGUUUAUUUCUUCCUAC